CCUUGCCUCUAGACAGCAACACAUCCAGACCUGAACUGUGCAUCCAUAGGCCUUCCAGAAGCCGUGAUUGACCAGUCUGCCUUCCUGAAAAUGCUUUCCUGUAACAUCUUACCCAGCAGUCCUAUGGUUCUCCUAAAGAGAGGUCUUCCUUUCUGCAAAGAAAUCUUAUGAUUAUGAUGCCUUGCCGCAGCUCAAUAGGCUAAUGCUCCGCCUGCAGCGCCGGCACACCGGGUUCUUGUCCCGGUCGGGGCGCCGGAUUCUGUCCUGGUUGCUCUUCUUCCAGUCCAGCUCUCUGCUGUAUGCCAGGAGGGCAGUGGAGGAUGGCCCAAGUCCUUGGGCCCUGCACUCGAAUGGGAGACCAGGAGAGGCACCUGGCUCCUGGCUUCGGAUCAGCGUAGUGCACCGGCUGCAACAACCAUUAGGGGGUGAACCAACGGAAAAGGAAGACCUUUCUCUCUGUCUCUCUCUCUCACUGUCCACUCUGCCUGUCAAAAUAAAUAAAUAAAUAAAUAAAAGAUAAAAAAAUAAAAA
Oryctolagus cuniculus (rabbit) is the source of this 531-nucleotide non-coding RNA. The record is from RefSeq and is a predicted model, not a curated record. NCBI's taxonomy places the organism in Eukaryota, Metazoa, Chordata, Mammalia, Lagomorpha, Leporidae.